CCUACGGGAGGCAGCAGUGGGGAAUAUUGGACAAUGGGCGCAAGCCUGAUCCAGCCAUACCGCGUGUGUGAAGAAGGCCUUUUGGUUGUAAAGCACUUUAAGCGAGGAGGAGGCUCUUGAGGAUAAUACCCUUGAUGAGUGGACGUUACUCGCAGAAUAAGCACCGGCUAACUCUGUGCCAGCAGCCGCGGUAAUACAGAGGGUGCGAGCGUUAAUCGGAAUUACUGGGCGUAAAGCGCGCGUAGGCGGCUUGUUAAGUCGGAUGUGAAAUCCCCGGGCUCAACCUGGGCACUGCAUUCGAUACUGGCAAGCUAGAGUAUGGGAGAGGAAGGUAGAAUUCCAGGUGUAGCGGUGAAAUGCGUAGAGAUCUGGAGGAAUACCGAUGGCGAAGGCAGCCUUCUGGCCUAAUACUGACGCUGAGGUGCGAAAGCAUGGGGAGCAAACAGGAUUAGAUACCCUGGUAGUCCAUGCCGUAAACGAUGUCAACUAGCCGUUGGGGACCUUGAGUCUUUAGUGCGCAGCUAACGCGAUAAGUUGACCGCCUGGGGAGUCGGUCGCAAGCUAAAACGUCAAAGGAUUGACGGNUUGAGCGNGCGAGGCGACACGAGGGAGAGG
Molecule: ribosomal RNA, 615 nt
Filed under: uncultured bacterium
Lineage: Bacteria
Description: bacterial SSU rRNA
Rfam family: Bacterial small subunit ribosomal RNA
Source: RNAcentral